RNAcentral lists this long non-coding RNA (7267 nucleotides) under Zea mays. Its description in RNAcentral is "long non-coding RNA (ZMAY_LNC003910)". The record is from RNAcentral. Lineage: Eukaryota; Viridiplantae; Streptophyta; Magnoliopsida; Poales; Poaceae.
AACUCCGAUUUUAGUGGUUCUCGUUCCCACGAUCUCGUAGCAACGCGUAGAUCAUUAUUAUUCAGUUUGUUCUUAUGUUUGGUGUGAUGUUAAUUUUAUCUAUACCAUGUUUGUUUGUAUUGCUACGACUAGCGCGAGGACACGUGUCAUCUGUAAAGCAAGUUGGUACCUGGAUUCUCAAGUGCCAGGCAAGUUGUGCCCUUGAUCACUUACUUUUCCCAGCCAUGUUCUUAUUAAUUUUAAUGAUCUGCAUAGGUUAAUUGUGAUGGGAUCCUUUAUGUUACCCCAGUUUUGAUUACCUCUAUACCUUGUUCACCCCUGAAAUACUUUUGGGUAGUACUUGCUAUUGCUUUAUGUGGAUUGGGUAUGGAGAUACACUACUCAUGAUUAUCCUGUUAUUAUCUUGUUAUUAUUACUGUUCAUGUUAAGAUCAUUAAAUUAAUGGGAACAUGGAGCGACCACCCGGGAAAACAGUGCUACCACAAGGGUUUAAUGGGACGCCCUUGGCUGAUUAACUAGGAAAGCUAGUGGAGGUCUUCCUUACCCGAAAGGGGCAAGGGCAGUAGGGGAGUGGUCAGUGUAGGGAGGUCCUUGGGUUGAUUUUGCUGCAAUGGCGGUCAGGCAAGAACCCUGCACUGGAGCUUCCUAUAAACUGUAGCGGGAUUUCUGAAGCUAGUGGAACUUUGUAAAGGCCUCGUAGUGUUACCCUGCCUCGCCUCCUCGGUAGAGGUGUAUGGGAUUGGCCGUCUCUUGGCAGAUGGGUAACAUGACUUGUGGGUAAAGAUGCGCAACCUCUGCAGAGUGUAAAACUAGUAUACUAGCCGUGCUCACGGUCAUGAGCGGCUCGGACCCUCACAUGAUUAAUUAUGGAACUUAAAUUCAAUUUGACAUUUGCAUCGCAUUUGGGAUUAUUUUAUUAUUACUUUUCUUUAUUAUUAUUAAGGUUUGGUAUUUACUUACACUUAGUAAUUGCUAAUAAAAUUUUGACCAACUUAUAAAAGCAAUGCUCAGCCUCAGCCUUUAUUUCAUUGAUCAACCUUACACUUCAUGAACUCCCACCUUUGGUGAGUUCAUGCCACAUUAUUCCCCACGACUUGUUGAGCUAUGAACGUAUGUGAGCUCACUCUUACUGUCUCACACCCCCCCCACAGGAGAAGAACAGGUGGUCGAAGAGGAGCCGCCUAACACUGAGGCAUUCGACUUGAUCUAGGUGGCGUUUCUCAGUCGACAUUGGCGCCGACGAUCCUUAGUUCGUUUUAUAUUUAUUCUUUUACUUUGUAAUAAGUCUUCCGCUAUGUAAUAAUUACUCUGAUGUUUUAUGACAUUUAUCUCUAUACACUCUGUUAUUAUAUAUGUUGUCUUCUUGGCGCAUGUAUGAGAUGCACCCGGCGUUGUUCCUUAAAACCGGGUGUUACAGAAGUGGUAUCAGAGGGAAUGUUGACUGUAGGACGAAACCUAGAUAGAAAUGGACAACCCUUACCUACUUAUCUCAUUCCGAUCAUUCUUACCUUUUCUAUUCUAAGACAAGAUGGAUUUCACACCUUGGAAUUCCUACCCCUAUGACAUUUUUAAGAGAUAGGAAGCCUAAGAUAAAAUUAAAACUAUUUUCUCUAUUAAAAAUGUUGGUUGAUUGUUCUGAUGAUCAAUGCCUGAUUUGCUUCUUUGAUUGAUUGAAAUAGUAUAGACGGGCAUCUUAGCAUGUACCGCCAUAAGGUAAUGUAUUAGCUUUAGUGGAUAACACACUAAUCUACUUAGCUAAUAAAUCCCCCACAGUAACAUUCCUCGUAAUUACUCGCCUUGUCUACAAUUCUUCCUUUCUUACCCUGUAUUUCUAACCCAGAUGGGCUACCCCUAUAGUGUUAGAAGAGAGCACUAUAGACGUGAUCCUUGGCAUGUCAUGGUUAAGAAAGGUAAAGGCAGUUUAUACACUGUGCUAAAGGAACCGUAGAACUCACCAGUUCCAAAGGACAAAGUUUUGAAGUUGAAGUUGCAGUAACUACCACCAUCAGACUAGCGACAUUCUUAGUAGAUGAGAAGUUUUUGGGUGACAACAUCCGUGCAGUUAGGGAUUUUUCGGAUGUCUUUCCAGAGGAGUUACCAGGGAUGCCACCAGAUAGGGAAGUUGAGUUUGUAAUUGAUCUUCUACCUGGAACUGCCCCUAUUUCUAAACGGCCAUACAGGAUGUCCGUAGAAGAACUAAAGGAACUUAAGAAACAAUUAACGGAAUUACAAGAUGUUGGAUAUAUUCGUCCGAGUUCCUCACCUUGGGGAGCACCGGUGUUAUUUGUGCAGAAGAAGGAUGGAUCGCAAUGGAUGUGUGUGGACUAUAGAUCACUUAAUGAUGUUACUGUGAAGAACAAGUAUCCGUUACCCCGUAUUGAGGAUUUAUUUGAUCAGAUGAGAGGAGCCAGGGUAUUCUCGAAGAUUGAUCUCCGAUCGGGAUACCAUCAAAUGAAGAUUAGACCAUCAGAUAUUCCAAAGACGGCUUUCUCAACCCGAUAUGGAUUAUAUGAGUUUACUGUUAUGUCAUUUGGAUUAACCAAUGCACCGGCUUAUUUCAUGAAUUUGAUGAACAAAGUGUUUAUGGAGUAUUUGGACAGAUUCGUCGUGGUGUUUAUCAACGACAUUCUGAUCUAUUCUAGGAAUGAAAGUGAUCACGAACAACAUCUAAGGUUGGUGCUACAAAAGCUGCGAGAUAAUCAACUCUACGCUAAGUUCAGCAAGUGCGAGUUUUGGAUUGACAAGGUGCCAUUCCUUGGUCAUAUUAUUUCUAAUGGAGGAAUAGCAGUGGAUCCUGCUAAAGUGAAGGAGAUAAUGGAGUGGAGAGUGCCCACUACAGUUACUGAGAUUCGGAGUUUCUUGGGACUCGCAGGAUAUUAUCGGAGAUUUAUUGAAGGGUUCUCUAAAAUUGCUAAGCCUAUGACAUCGCUUUUGGAAAAAGGAAGAGAAUUCAAGUGGGAUGAGAAGUGCCAAGAAAGCUUUGAUCAAUUGAAGGAGAGAUUGAUGUCACCUCCAGUAUUGAUUAUGCUAGAUCUGCAGAAGGGAUUUGACAUUUACUGUGAUGCAUGUGGCCAAGGACUUGGAUGUGUGCUUAUGCAAGAUGGUCAUGUGAUUGCCUAUGCAUCUCGUCAGUUGAGGAAACAUGAAUUGAACUACCCCACCCAUGACUUAGAGCUGGCUGCCGUUGUGCAUGCACUUAAGAUUUGGAGACACUACAUUAUGGGAACUAAGUGCCAAGUAUACACGGAUCAUAAGAGUUUGAAGUACAUAUUCACUCAAAAGGAUCUCAACCUUAGGCAACGCCGUUGGUUGGAGCUCAUUAAGGAUUAUGAUUUGGAAAUUCACUAUCACCCAGGCAAGGCAAAUUUGGUUGCAGAUGCCUUGAGUCGGAAGGAGCAUGUUCACUCCGCUUUCGUUGUCCAGCUACCUGAUGAGUUAGCAAAAGAUUUUGAGAGGCUCAAUCUGGAAAUUGUUACACAUACGGAAGGAGUGGCUAUUGAAUUGGAACCUACCUUGGAGCAAGAAAUUCGUAAAGGUCAGGUUGGUGAUGCUAAGAUCCAGGAGAUCAAGGAUCUGAUAACAGAGGGUAGAGGCCCAGAGUUCACGGAGGAUGAGCAAGGCACGAUAUGGUUCAAGAAUCGGAUAUGUGUUCCUGAUAUUGAAAGCCUUCGUGAGACUAUUUUAAAGGAGGUCCAUGACUUGGAUUAUUCUAUUCAUCCUGGUAGUACCGAGAUGUAUCAGGAUUCGAAGCAGAAAUACUAGUGGUAUGGAUUGAAAAGAGAUGUGGCUGCACAUGUGACUAUGUGCAAUGUGUGUCAAAGAGUUAAGGUCGAACACCAAAGACUAGUUGGACUAUUGCACCCACUAAAGAUACCCGAGUGAAAGUGGGAAGAGAUUGGUAGGGACUUCAUUACUGGAUUGCCUCGCACCUUGAAAGGAUACGAUUCUAUAUGGGUUAUUGUGGAUAGACUGACCCAAGUGGCUCAUUUUAUUCCGGUCAAGACUAUUUAUAAGGGAUCACAAUUGGCUAAGUUAUACAUGUCUUGGAUUAUGUCUCUACACAGUGUAUCGAAGAAGAUCAUUUUGGAUAGAGGAUCACAGUCUACCUCCAGAUUUUGGAAAAGCUUUCAUGAGAAUAUGGAUGCGAAGUUGAAUUUUAGUUCUGCCUACCUCAGACUGAUGGACAGACUGAAAGGACUAACCAAGCGUUGGAAGAUAUAUUGAGAGCUUGUGCCUUCAGCAUGGUAGUAGUUGGGACAAGAGUCUACCUUAUGCUGAGUUCUCAUAUAAUAAUAGUUGUCAAGCCAGUCUAAAGAUGUUACUGUUCGAGACUCUGUAUGGCAGGAAAUGCAGGACUCCUCUAUAUUGGAUCAGACUAGAGGAAGACAAUUCUUUGGACCUGAACUUAUUCAAGAGGCAGAAAAAAAUCAAGUCCGUAUAAUCAGGGAGAACCUGAGAGUAGCUCAGACCAGGCAAAGGAGCUAUGCUGAUAAUAGAAGAAAACUAGUGGAAUUUAAGGAAAGGAAUCAUGUGUACCUCAAGGUUUCACCACUUCGUGGAAUGAGGAGAUUCAAAGUUAAGGGCAAAUUGUCUCCUCGCUUUAUUGGACCAUUCAGAGUUUUUAGGCAAGUUGGAGAGAUGGCCUAUCAACUCGAGCUACCUAAUAAUCUAUCGGAUGUGCAUAAUGUAUUUCAUGUGUCUCAACUUAAGAAGAGUCUCCGUGUCCCUGACGAACAGUUACCAAUGGAAAAAAACUCAGUGUUCAAGAUGAUUUGACUUACACGGAGUAUCCUAUCAAGAUUCUUGACGCACUGACUCGUGUCAUGAGGAACAAAGUUAUAAAGAUGUGCAAAGUGCAAUGGAGUCACCAUGGAGAAGAUGAAGCGACUGGGAAAAGAGAAGAAGAGCUUCGCAUAGAUUUUCCCCAUCUUUUCCCUCGUUCCUCCUAAAUCUCGAGGACGAGAUUCUUGUUAAGGGGGGUAGGAUUUGUAACACCUCAAAAAAAAUCCCAUUUUGGGAAUUAGGAAAGAAAAAUGUUAAUCAUAAAAAUCUAGAACAAAUAUGUUUGCUAAUAAAGAUUAAAAAAAGACCUCUAUGUGAAUAUUUUUCAUAUAGUGAUAAUUAUUCCCAAAAUAAAAGUAUUUUAUGCACUAUAAACUAUUUUUCUUAAAAUAAACAUAUGUGUAUGAUAUGCAUGUUUUUGUUAAAAAAGAGAACAUAUGCAUAUAUAGGAUAAUGAAUAAAUGUAUAUAAACAAAAUAUAUAGUGAUGCAUCCAUGCUGGUUCUUUGUUUGAGGCAUUCAACUUGUUCCUUGGUUUCAAAACAAAUUUAAAUAUGGAAUUAGAAAAUUAGAAAUAGAAAAGAAACUGAGAAAAAUAAAAAAAAGAAAGGGAAAAACUCUAACUGGGCUGCCAACCACGAUUUCGGCCCACCUGCUCAUUUCCUGCUUCCCCGUGCAGCCCACGAAGCAACCCCUCCUCACAUGCGCGCUUAGCCACUGCGUGCGGGCCCUAUCUGGCAGCCCCUUUGAUCGCGCUUCACUUCCAUGUGGGCCAAUUUGCCAGGCAAUCUCCACUCCACCUUCGCGCAGCCGCAUCCUUGCCACUGGCCAAUGGGACCCUCGCUGCAGACCCACGUUUUCUUUUGCGCUGUGACCGUUGUGCGGGACCGCACUGUCAGGGUCGUCCUCCCCGUCGCGGACCAAGUCGAUGCAACGCCGCAACGGAGCGCCGAAUCCGCCGGGUCACAACCACCUCCCUGCCAUUCUUGCCGACUUCUCGGGCCGAUGCUCCACGUCGUGGCUAGAUAAAGGGAAGACAGCCGCUCCUCUCUCGUGCGCCACUUCGGGAACACCACGCCCCCCAUGGCCGAUAGUAUGCGAUAAGAAAGAGAGAGAAGGGAGGGGCGAAAGCUGCUGCAUGGAUUCGGCCGGUUUGCGCCGUUGACUCGCUGCAGUGGAGUUCUCCGGUGCAAGCUGCUCGUGGGAGUAACCUUCCGCGGCCGGAUCGAGAGCGGACCGGCUCGGAAUUGCUCCCCGGUGUGGCGUCUCCGCCGCAGACCCGCCCUUCGUCGUGGCCGGAGCGCAGCUCGGCACAAAACUUGGUAAUAACACCCUCAUGCAGUUCGCAUCGUUAUGUACUAUGAGUAGGUGUCGUCAAUUUUGCGAAGAAUACGCUAGUGUGGCUGCCAGUGUGUUCGCCGGUGGGUCUCCGCCGUGUUUCCCUGGGCGGCGCCGCCGUGAGCAGGUGAAUGUUGGGGAGUUGUCUCUGGGCCGUUGGAUGGACAGCGGGCGACUGAGAUUGGAGUGGGAUAUAUCCCUUCGCGCUAUUAGAUAGGAGCCGUAGAUCGACCAUCCGACGACCGAGAUCGGGCUCUGGCGUGGUCAGAUCUCGGACAUUAAUCUUGAAUCCAACGGUAGUGAGUGAAAGCGGGGUGUGUAAACAGGGUCGAUCUAAUCCGGACCAUUCGUUUCUAAUCGGACGACAGUCGACGCGAUGAUACCCCUUCGCCCUGGCAGUCUUUUAAAAGGGCCCCUGAGUUUUAGAGAAAUGAACCCGCCAUCCUGCGCUGUAUGGCUUAGUGUCUUAGGAAGAAUUACCCUGUGACCCCUGCGUUUCUCUGUUUUAGUGCACACAGUCCAGAGAACAGUAAAAAUAAAUAAAUAAAUAUAGAAAAUGAUUUCUAGUAUAUAAAUAAUUCCAGAAACUCAUUUUAUUCAUAGAAAAUUCAUACUAACUCCUUUUUAGUCCAUUCCAGUUCCUAUAAUUUUGUAAUAUUAUAGUUUAUCAUCUAGUACCACUGCUUUCACAUGAAAGUCCUAUUAAAAUUUAUAUCCUAUUUAAUCUUGCAUAAAACACAUAAAACCUUUAGAAAUUCAUAACUUAAAAUAUAUAACUCCAAAUUGAUUCAUUCCAGUGGCAUUAAUUUUGUUUAAGUAUUGUUUAUCACCUAGUACCUUUAUCUAACCAUAAAACUUGAUUUAAAAUUAUUCACAUGAAUUACUCUAUUCUAGAUACUUAAUAACUACAUAAAAUCAUAACUCGGUGACCGUAACUCCGAUUUUAGUGGUUCUCGUUCCCACGAUCUCGUAGCAACGCGUAGAUCAUUAUUAUUCAGUUUGUUCUUAUGUUUGGUGUGAUGUUAAUUUUAUCUAUACUAUGUUUGUUUGUAUUGCUACGACUAGCGCGAGGACACGUGUCAUCUGUAAAGCAAGUUGGUACCUGGAUUCUCAAGUGCCAGGCAAGUUGUGCCCUUGAUCACUUACUU